CGGGGCGCAGCAGGCGCGAAACCUUUACACUGCACGAACGUGCGAUAAGGGGGCUCCAAGUGCGAGGGCAUACAGUCCUCGCUUUUUCNUACCGUAAGGAGGUAGGCGAAUAAGAGCUGGGCAAGACCGGUGCCAGCCGCCGCGGUAAUACCGGCAGCUCGAGUGAUGGCCACUAUUAUUGGGCCUAAAGCGUCCGUAGCUGGCCGAACAGGUCCGUCGGGAAAUCCGCUCGCUCAACGAGCGGACGUCCGGCGGAAACCAGUCGGCUUGGGACCGGAGGACCCGAGGGGUACGUCCGGGGUAGGAGUGAAAUCCUGUAAUCCUGGACGGACCACCGGUGGCGAAAGCGCCUCGGGAGGACGGAUCCGACAGUGAGGGACGAAAGCUUGGGUCACGAACCGGAUUAGAUACCCGGGUAGUCCAAGCUGUAAACGAUGCUCGCUAGGUGUGGCACUGGCUACGAGCCAGUGCUGUGCCGUAGGGAAGCCGAGAAGCGAGCCGCCUGGGAAGUACGUCCGCAAGGAUGAAACUUAAAGGAAUUGGCGGGGGAGCACUACAACCGGAGGAGCCUGCGGUUUAAUUGGACUCAACGCCGGACAUCUCACCAGCACCGACAGUGUGCGAUGAAGAUCAGUGUGACGAGCUUAUUGGAGUCACUGAGAGGAGGUGCAUGGCCGCCGUCAGCUCGUACCGUGAGGCGUCCUGUUAAGUCAGGCAACGAGCGAGACCCCCGCAUC
RNAcentral lists this ribosomal RNA (737 nucleotides) under uncultured archaeon. RNAcentral's name for it is "bacterial SSU rRNA". It matches the Rfam family "Archaeal small subunit ribosomal RNA", at positions 326 to 1060 of the family's 1478-position model. The record is from RNAcentral.